GUUAGGUCCCGAUAGAUGGUUUAAUUAAGCUAGAAGGGGGGGUUGAAUAGCUUAAUCACCAAUUAAAAAUAUUUAUGUCGUUUUAAAAAGUUUUCACCCCUUCUUUAAAACUUGUAUCGAGAGUAUUGGCAGUUACGUGCGGAAGUGUAAGAAAAGAAAAGGAAAAUAUCACACGAGCGAUUUUAUCCUGGUUCGCGGUGGCU
This 203-nucleotide long non-coding RNA is filed under the name Daucus carota (carrot). Its description in RNAcentral is "long non-coding RNA (DCAR_LNC006168)". The record is from RNAcentral. Lineage: Eukaryota; Viridiplantae; Streptophyta; Magnoliopsida; Apiales; Apiaceae.